GAAGUCCUGGCUUGAUGGAAGACUGCCAAGGCUGUUCAUGUGCAGCCCUCGCCGAACAGACGCUAGCAUCGACUAGGCCGAGGUUCAGGUCUAUGGCAGUCUCCAAAGGUUGUUGAUGGCAUACACGGAGGGUAUCUCCAAGGAGAAGGGGUGGGGUUAUGUAGAGAAGAUAGUGCUUCUUUCUAUGGGUACAGAGCUGUCCGAAGUAAGUUCAGAAUGGAAAGAGCACCACCAAGUUCCGCCUGGUUCUGAACAGCCACAAAAUGAACACAGAAUUCAGAAGAAUAGUAAUAUGAAGGACCUAGGCAGGGUAGCCACACGUUUUGAGUUCGCAAUGACAUUUGAAUAAGAUCACAAAUAUUCUUGUUUUGCGCAAGGUCGCCUAGUUUACUCACCAUAUUGGUUACGUUUUGCACAGCAGAAAUAUUUUUUUUUAUCAGACUGAAACCUCAUUGUUAAUUGAACAAAUGUGGCUGUCUGUGUAAGUCCUUCGUGUUUUUAUUCUUUUUUAUUUGUGUGUUCAUUAUUUCAUGUUUUUCUCGUGAUUUAGUCUGUGUUUUUGUUACUUAUGCGUUCAUCAUAUCUUGAAGUUUUAAUUAAAGAUAUGAUGCCCUCGCCAUUUUCUAGUCUGGGAAAUGGUGGUGACCUCGUCGUGUUCAAGGAGCAGUAAUGAACUUUCCAUCUUGUAUUGCUUCCGGCGAACAAUGGUGUCUUUGUGCGUGUGUGUGUGUGCGAUGUGUUGA
This is a long non-coding RNA of Ixodes scapularis (black-legged tick), 743 nucleotides long. RefSeq lists it as uncharacterized. The transcript has 3 exons. Lineage: Eukaryota; Metazoa; Arthropoda; Arachnida; Ixodida; Ixodidae. The record is from RefSeq and is a predicted model, not a curated record.